UAUAUAUUUGCUAUCACAACCUCCUCUCCAUACAACAGGCCCUUUAUUAUAAUCAUUCUACCUUCUUUAUCAGAAUAGCUCGUUUGUAGUUGAAAUGGUAAGUUUUUAUGGAUCAGUAUUAUUACGCCAUGCUUUUUGGUGGAGAAAGAUGAAUAAUAAAGUUGGCCAACCUAGUUUCUGCCAAAUUUUUGGUGCUCAAGAUCAUUCAAAUGGGUUUCUUGUAAAAGAGCAAUAUGUAUUUUGUCCCUUUUCAAAAUAUUUAGGAUCUUCUUUCGUUUAACAACAUUGUUGACGCCCUUUACAUUCCAAGUACGUAUCCUUGUGCUCGAGCUAUUUGUAUUACUCAUUGAUAGUUAGUAUACCAAUUAGAUGUGUAAGUGUUAACCGUUUUAAAAUGCACACACUGUAAGAGAAAAUAAAAAGCAUAACAAUAAAUGGAUAAAAAGGAAUACCACAACAGCUUAAAUCACAGAAAACAAAAAACCUCCUGCAUGAAAACAGAACUGUGCAGGUGGACAAAAAGCUUUUAGCCCCAAACGUGAACGGGGGAUGUAACAUUGUGACAACACAAAAAAAAAAAAAAUACUAAAUUUGUGAACCUCUCACAUUCAUCGGCUGGUCCUGUUAAGGGUAGCCAGAAAAACAGCAGGCAGAGAGGUAACAGCGUGGGAGUCUUAUGUUCAUAAUUUCGUGGCACGAAGAUGUUUUCUCUGCAUGUCAUAAGUUAAUUGUUCGUGUCAACGUUGCUCCAAGCCAAACAGGCUAACGUAUAUCACAGUCGUCCGCAUUGAUUGCAGAAUAUAUUAAACAGCGCUUUUCAAAUUUCGUACGUCAUAAGUACCUGUGAGGGGAUAUUACAGUCGUUGAGUCGAUUCCAAGAAGGCGUUCACCUCCGCGGGCGUAGACAGGUAAGUGUCUUUGCCGGCUGCGUUGAACACUCUUAUAGUGGCGGGGUAGAUGAAGGCAUAUUUAAAUCCUGCUUCCCGCAAUCGUCUUCGGGCCUCUGCCGUCUCCGCUCUCUUCUUCUGUACGCCAACCGAGAAAUCUUGAAAAAACGACACUUGUUUCCCCUCAAUGCGAAGGUCACCCGAACGUCUCGCUGCUUCUAAAACCACUCUUUUGUCUUUGUAGUUAUGUAGUCAAACGAUCACAGGUCUCACUCUCGGAUGUUUGCCUUCGUUUCUCAGUGGUCCAGUUCAAUGCGCCCUUUCCAAUUUUAUCCGUCCAUCCUUUGCCUUCAUAUUUAGAGUGGCCGGGAUCCAAGUCUCAAAAAAAGCUGUCGGGUCGCUCCCCUCUAUGCCCUCUUUGAGACCAACGAUUCUGAUAUUCUGACGCCGGCUUCGAUUUUCAAGGUCUUCUACACGUUCGAGUGUUUUUUGCAAGGACGACUCGACAGAUGCCAGGCGCGUUGAGCUGUUAGCUUGGUUAUCUUCGAGGUCUACAGGUUGCAGCACCAACUCCCUCACACAGAUUGGUUAGGAAACCCAGGUUGCUUGAAAAGUGAGCUCUCUGUAGAGUUUAUCAGGACAGCCGAUUAGGGUCCGCCCUCGCUCCCCUGUUGUGCGGAUGAUAGCAUAUUGAUAAUUUUAGUUUUUUUUCAAAAAAUAUACAUACUUUAAACAAAUUCUAUAAUUGGAAUAAGUCAUUAUGUCUGUAACACAGAGAUUCUUAGAGGCGAGGGAAAUUGGAUCCAAUCAGUUUUAUUAAACAAAAACAAUUACACAUAUAGCCAGGAACAUGGAUAAUGUCAAGUAACAAACAAAAACAGAAGCAAGGGCUCGAUAUCAAUGUUAAUUUCAGGGUUUGCUACAUCAUGCUACCAUAUAUUACAUAUUAAGGCGCAUCACCAUGACUGAUUGAUCAUUCAGCAAUACUCAAAAUGAAUUCAGCUCGAAUUAAACAACUUGUCUAUUGUUAAAAAGACGGUACUUAACGCGGGUACAUCGCUCCACUCAAAAUAUAGACUCUUUGUAGACCUACAGCAUUUGAAGGGGUCGUCCUCUGGAAUUGGCCAGUCGAGGGUCCCAUUCGUCGUCAGAUUGAGACGAAAAGUCCAUUUCGCAUUCCUCACGGGGUUUCAUCAACUUAAUGAGGUUUUGGUCAUGAAGUGACAUGUUCCAACAGGUUGAUAUAGUUACGUUAUCACCGGGCUUUAUCACCUUGUACCGCACGUUUGGGGUCACUCCAUCUCACUUGUUCACGUAAAAGCUUUUACCAGCGAUCCCAUUCAGAUCGGUCCAGAUACGAUUGUAGAAAAAUGACCAGUCCUUGGCGGGCAAAAGCACACAAGGUGUCUGUGAUGUAAAUUCUUCAAAAAAUUCCAUAGCGUAGAGUUUAACCGUACGUGAUGCUUUGUUAAAAACAAAACUGCCCACAUAAACAUCGGCCAUCAGAAAUUCCUGUUUCACAAAAUUUUCAUCUUCAUGAAGAAACUUGGUCAAACGAAUCCUGUGUUUUUUCUGCCGUGCGUAAGGAAUUUUUUCUUCUGUUUUAACAUAACUUUCAACAGAAGUUUCAGGAGCUUGUGGAGUAGCCAUUGUAGCUUUGCAGACCGUUUCCUACAGCUUAUUCAGUAGAUAGGGCCUGUAGGUUUUAACUAGAGAGAAUGUGAACACCCGCUGUGUAACCUCUAACCCCUGGAGGGUAAACGUCUAUAUAGCGUUUGGAGUCAUUUUAAAUGUUUUACAAGAUAAAAUAUUUCAGAGUUCCUUGUGCUAUAUUCAAUAUCCACAUACCACCCCAAAAAAUCUAUUUCAGCGCUAUUUAAAAACUAGGAUUGUAUAAUAAAAUAAUGUAAAGAUCUCAAGUGAAGAUGAUGAUUUAAACCAAUAUUUUAUUAAAUCAAGCAAAUGCUAUGAAUAAAGAGAUGCCGAGAAUACCUAAAGUUGACUAACAUUACAGCAUAUUCAAGGAUACAAAGUGUAAGGAAAGCAGACACACACACACACACACACACACACACACACAAAUAUUACAAUCACACAGCAAUACGUUGAAAAUGUUGAUAUUAAAAAUUGGUAAACAAUUUCAAAAGCAGUGUGUUUCAGGAAAAGUGCAAACAAAUCAAAGAAAACUCAAAUGUCUCCAAACUACAUCCUAAUAUUUAGUCUAGCUUCAGAGUCAGAUGACCACUGAUAAAGACUUUGUGACUUGUGUGAAGUUUGAUGAGGCCGAGAACCCUAGCACUGUUAAACAUGCGGUACAAUAACAAUGUUCAAUAGAAACUAGAAUCCAACAUUUACAAUAUGUUAAAACUCAUCUGCUGAUGAGGACAAAAAACUGUCUAUCACACAUUUUCAUAAAAAGAAUAACAAAUCAUUUCUGGAUCAGUUCUAAAGGACAGACACCAAAAAACACUGGUGUCAAAGUAUUGGUGUUGACAGAAUAAUAAAAAAAAAAAUAAAAAAAAAAGGCAUGAAUCAUCCCACUGUUCAAUUUAAUUUUCAAUUAAUCUACUUAACUAUUGUUUAAAGACAAGCACAAAAGAACUGUGUGUCUAUGACAUGCUGUGAAAUGCAUAGCUCUAAGUGCAAUAGUUAUAAAAGUUUGAAGUGUAAUAGCUGUAAUGUAACAGAAAAACAGCAAGACUCACUUUUUACGUUGAUGCAUUAUGUGUCUUGUGACCGCUUCAUAGACAGACCAGAAAGAUGGCCUAAAAGAACAUUACACUUUUAGUUUAAACACUCAUGUAGUAGGAGUAUCAUUUGUUUGUGUUUUCAUUAUGUCCUGCGAGUAGCUGCAUGUUUGACCAAACUCAGAGUGCAGUCUUUAUCUAAAACUGUACAUAUAUACAAACUAAUAAAAAUUGUAAACAGUGUCAUCUGCUAGUGGAAAAUGGCAUUUACAAAUUACAAUCUUUUGCAAUAGAUCAGAAGAGAGGAUUUCUGUAUUAUGUUUACAUUAUAGCUAAAUGUAUCUUAUAUGUCGUACACACAUACAUUUUUGUACGUAUAAUACCUGUAUAAUGAUUGUUUGAAUUUCUUCUUUAAGAGGGUAUACGAUGUUAUAGUUCUCAAAAUGAGCUUGCAUUACAACAGCGUGGCAUAGACUCUAACAAAACUGUAUACUAUAAUACACAUAUUCUUUAACGUCAUGCUGUGAUGUUGAAAGAAAUGAUUCAUUAAACAGAAUUGGUUUUGUCAGAAGUUCAGUCAUACAUCUAAAAAGAUACUUAAAUGAAUGGUCUCUGUUCAUCACACAUGUGUGAUUUGCAAAAAACCUACACUGAAAGCAACCAGAGAGGAGUAUUCGGCUAAAAACAUAUACAGACCGACGAAUAAAAUGCCACCAGUGAUCUUGAUAGUCUUUAUAAUGUGACUAAGACUAAUGAAGGGGGUAAACAUGCCUAUCACAAUAAAUCAAGAGUGAACUUCUGUAUAUAACACUUUUCUUACAUGAUGUCACUGCUUUCUUAGUUACUAGGCCUCUUGAAUUUAGAUGUGAGAAUUUAUUGUGCUCACAUAAUUUGUACAAAGAUCAUGUUUGAGAUGUAUCUAUAGCUUUACUUCAGUGUGUAACUUUGAUUACCCUCCUCGAACUGAAUGAAAUCAUAGCUUUCGGCUUCUGAUCUAAAGCUUUACUGAAACCUUUCAGAUGGUGUGAAUAAUAACGUACAAAUAUCGUAUAAUACAUGUUGAAAGUGUGUAUAAUACAUGUUGACAAGUGAAAAUGACCUAUUCUUUUCUUUAUUAUGAAGCUUCAGCCAGAUCCUUGUAUCGCAUGAUUGUAGCAUGUCUGAAACUUUGAAAUAAGUCUUAUUUCAACACCACGGGAAAAUGAUUUUUGUCUAAUAGUCUGUCAAAAGAAAAAAUAAAGUGGUUUAGUCGUAUUUAAAAAACAAACAAACAAACAAAAAUUCUUAAAAACAUUGUGUCAAAAGUAUUUGGUAGCGUGAUAUUCUUUGUUUCAUCAUGUAUUAACUUCAUAUUUAUUAGACUGAUAAAAGUAGUAUGAACCUUUGUAGAAAUAAUAAAAGCACAUUUUAUAAAACAAUGAAUGGCAGUGUGUCAGAACAAACGGGUAUGAAUAUAUGUUUGCUUUUAACUUUUUAUUUAUACUUUAAAGUAAGAUUAUCUUUAAAAAAAAAAAAAAAAAAAUGUAAUACAGUAUUUGAUUUUUGGUAAAACUAUCUUACAUAUGUAGUGUUUUCACGCAUUGUCAUGAGCCUAUCCUUAAUGGUUGCAUUGUGUGAGGAACUGUGUAAUAUCUAAUUGUUAAAAACAUUGCAGCAAAAAAAAAAAAAAAAAAAAAUCGACAUCAUUCUUUUGUUUUAUAUUUACUAGGAAUUGAAACUAUAGAAAUAAGAAAAAUAAAAUCACAUAGAUCUAUGAGACAUGCGUCAACUAAAAAGAAAAAAAAAUGCAAGUUUAAAUGUAUGGUUUUUAAAACACAAAACAACAUAUUUAACAGAUAUACUAGGUUUUAACAGCAAGGACAUUUUCUACCACAGAGUCUGAUGUGGACAUGCCUGGUAGGGAUUUGGCCUAAUCUUUGGUUUUUAAGGGAAAUUAAACAAUCUCAGGAGACCGACUGAACCCUGUGGAGUCGCAUCUUCUGAAAGACCCUGGCAUGUGUGGAUUCACUCAGUUGAAAACAUGUCGUUUGUAGGGUCACUUUAAAUCACUGGGGGUCAAAGGGCAUUCUUCCUGUUAGUGUCAUCAGUGUGACACACAGAUAUUUUUAAAAAUGUACACAUAUUUUUGAGUAGAUAACCGGUAUUAUAUAUUUUUGUAUAUUUUCAGUGAAGGGUAUAUGUUUCCACAGUGACAAAUGCUUGUGCCAGUCUCGAUCAUAGAUAGUACAGAAGGUCAGAUGCAGAGUUCAGGCACAGCAAAAUAAUAUGACAACAUAUGACCACUUUUUUAUUUGAAGUUUAAAGUAAUAUCAUGCUUUAAAAUAAGAUGAGUAAAAUUAAAUAUUCACUCAAGAUACUUUUUUUUUCAUGGGAGCAACACAGAGGAACAUCUGAUCUCUCUCUCUCUCUGAAAAUGUGUGAUUUUCUCAAAGAUACGGCUUUAAACAAGAGCAAUGUUGAGCCCUCGUUCUGAGUUACGUUUGAGUUGUGAGGCUUCAAACACAUAAACACCUUCACUUUUGGAUUUUAAAAAAAAAUCAAAUUAAAUAUUUGCAGUUUAUUUUAAAAACAUACAGAUUUCUUAAAACAUUGUGUGUCUCAUGGGCAAAAAUGUUGCUUGAAUUUUUUUGUAUUAUUGAGAUCUAAGAUGACUAAGUACAAGUUUUUGCUUUAAACUAUGAAACAUGGAAUACUUAUAUAUAUAUAUAUAUACAUUAUAUAUAUAUAUAUAUAUAUAUAUAUAUAUAUAUAUAUACACACACAUAUAAAUGAUACUUUAGGUUAAAUUCAGGCAAAAUCAUUUCCACCGUAGGGCAUCAGAUUAUUAUCCCGAUAGAGUAGACUUCUAGGAAGAAUAUUUGAAUUCAAUUAAAACUUUAAAGAAUGGAUUUAAACAACCUUGUAAUUUUUUAAAAGAUCAUAUUUAAGAACAUAUUUGUGCUUUGAAAUAAAUGUAAUACAGAAGCCUUCACUCUGGAAAGGAGUUAGCGGUCUGAACAUAUGCUGUGACAGAAGCUCAUCUGUCUGACUCUCCCAUCUCUCAUUCACACUAGAGUUUAUUCCUAGGAGGAUCUGGGAGUGUUUUGUUUAUAAUACAACUUAAACUAUUUACUUUUUAUCAUCAAGAACUGCUUCUUCAACUCUCUGAAAAUGUAAGGCGUUUUCAUAUUUAUAAUUAUUUAUUUAUUUAGCUGAAACUAAACUGUGUUUAAUUUGUUUAAAUAUUUUUUAGCAUCAUAUUUGAUGUUACACAUUUAUUUAGAAUCAUUUUAUUUAAAAUAGAGAUAAGAACCAGCCUGAGACUUCACAGGUUCUCUUUCUGAAAAUGCUUGGUGAUUUUUCUUAAGGAAUUAUUGAAAAUGCUGCACAAUGUGUGAGACCCCAACAUUUUAUACAUACACUGAUAAAUAAAAAUAUACUUUAGGUUUUAAGUCAGAUAAUCAGUCUUCUAGGAAGAUUUGACUUGAGACUUUUUAAAAGAUGUAAUUUAAACUUUUAAAUGUAUGCUUUGAAAUAAAAGUUAGCACAGACAAAACAAUGUUUCAUCACCCCCCUCUGUCUCAGGUUUCACAGCACGGUUGCAUGAAGUUACUUGGAGAGAGAGAGAUUUUUAGACUUCAACUUUAUUCAUGUUAAGGACAUCAAAAAAAAAGUGAGGUGAAUGGAUUAUUUUCACCAUACCCUCGUUGUUCAUUUGAUCAACUAAGAAGAACUGGGCAUUUCCUCCUUCACCAGCUCCUAGACAGAAGAAAAAGUGUGUGACAUACACACAUAGAUUCUUUUGUCCGGCCAAAAGGAAAGAUUCAGAAAUCCUGAAGGUGGCCGAAAAAUUUGAACUGGAGAGAGCAGGACUUGGAGAAAAAAAAAUGAUGUUCUCUGACAAAUACUGUUGUUCUUCGGAGUUCAAUCAGGAACUCGUACGCCAGUUCCCUAAGCGGGGUGAGGGUGGUGGCUUUGAGCUGUUAAAAACGAGAGGCUGCACCAGGACAAAAAUUCUCCAUCCUAUUCCGUGUCCAGAUACAGGUUAUUCCCCUGAAUACCUAUGCUCCGAUGCAGCUGGAAUAGGAGCAGCUACGAUUCAUGUCAGACCUCUUUGGAGAUUGUUGCUUCACUAAACUCCAUUCAUCUCUGUAUUUAGUGCUGUUUGCCUGGGGAUCACAUUCAGACAAUAAUAAUACCAGCUGUAUAUGGGGCCUUUGUUGAAACAAAUGGGUGGGUGAUCUUAUGUAAAAUACACAAAGACUGACCAUGUUGCAUUUACAAAUUACCCAGGAACACAACUAGCAGUCCCCAACAAGAAAGUAGCAACAUGCAAGGCAGCUUUACUUGCAGCAAUACACCAGCAAGUAGUCCCAACACCCUACAUUAUGAGAGCAGCAGCCGAGCAGGAGCAGCAACAGCAUUCCCAUUCUCCAGAGCAGAGAGCAGGAGCAUCAUUUUUAUCAUAUGUGAUCCUGGAGCACAAAACCAGUCAUAAGUCGCACGGGUAUAUUUGUAGCAGUAGCCAACAAUACAUUGUAUAGGUCAAAAUGAUCUAUUUUUUUUUAUGCCAAAAAUCAGUAAAGAUCAUGUUCCAUGAAGAUAUUUUGUAAAUUUCCUACCGUAAAUAUAUCAAAAAUAUAUUUUUGUAUGCAUUGUUAAGGACUUCAUUUGGACAACUUUAAAGGUGGUUUUCUCACAUUUUAGAUUUUUUUGCACCCUCAGAUUCCAGAUUUUCAAACAGUUGUAUCUCGGUCAAAUAUUGUCCUGUCCUAACAAACCAUCAGUGGACAGCUUUAGUCAGCUUUCAUGACUGGUUUUGUGGUUCAGGGCCACAUAUGUCUUCAAAUGCAACUGGGCAAGCUCAUGUCAAAGCAGACAGGAAUAGUAAAGAAAAUGUUCUCAUUGUAUAUUCACCCUUUUUCUGCAGAAUGUGUUAUCUUCGCUCUGUGAGUUCAUGCAGUGCCAGUGAAUGGUGACCUAAAACUCUUCAAAAUACAGCGCAUAAAACUGCAGUGCAUUAAUUUAUGAAUUCAGAAAUGAUCAAAUCUGUAAUCCAAAUACGAGGUCAGCAGUCAUAAUUCUGGAUAUACAGUGGUGCUUGAAGCUCUGACAUCUAUCUAUCUAUCUAUCUAUCUAUCUAUCUAUCUAUCUAUCUAUCUGUCUAUCUGUCUGUCUGUCUAUCUAUCUAUCUAUCUAUCUAUCUGUCUAUCUGUCUGUCUGUCUGUCUGUCUGUCUGUCUAUCUAUCUAUCUAUCUAUCUGUCUAUCUGUCUGUCUGUCUGUCUGACAUCUAUCUAUCUAUCUAUCUAUCUAUCUAUCUAUCUGUCUAUCUGUCUAUCUAUCUAUGUUGAACACUGACAACAUGAUUAAUAUUCAUGAAGCUAGCAGCUCAUCAGUCAUUUGUGUGGUUCAUAUUGGUGUUAGUAGUAGAAUUCAUAGUGUUAUUGUCUUUUAAGUCUGGUGAGUAGACAAAAAAAUGACUAGCCAAUAAUGAUUUUACUGCCAAGGUGAUUUGUGUGUCUGUAACUUAUAUUUUCAGACUGGAAAAUUGAGAGUGAUGAACAGCAAGCAGCAUACCAGUUUUGAAGAAACUUAUUACAUGGAGCUGAAGACCGGACACCCCUUCAGGUCACAACAGAUCUAACCAGCAGUGUGCAAGACAGACAUAGACAGUUUCUGUCAUUCUACGAGUCAAACCCAACUGACUGGGCAUCCCCACUAUCAAUCAACCUUAAAGCUUGAAGAGCCGAGGGAUCUGACAGACGUGGAACGAUAGAGAGUGAACGAGCUUGCUUUUAGCUGGGCCAACAUUAACUAGAGAAAACCGGAAGUGGCUUGCAGAAACCGUUCUUCAGCAUGAGGUUAUCGGUCGCAGAGAGAAGCAGAUGAAGCAAAUCAAACGAGGUCUGAAGGAUACUGGGGUCCUGCUCAUGAGGAAAGAACGGCCUUCUCUCAUCACAGUGCUGUUCCCAAAAUCAUCCUUCCUGAACUAAUGGAUUGUUUAUGGCUCUGAAAACAUGCGAUCGUUAACCAGACUUCCCAUUUCCUAAAAACCUGAGCAUUUAUGCUGUUUUCUUUGUCCAUAGAUGGUUUAGAAAGAGUUAUAUGGCCAAUGAUGAAGAUGAAGAUGAGGAUGAUCACAAGGUUCCUCUGGAGUUGAAACGCCAGAUGGCGUCGUACCUCAGGAAGUACAUCGAAAAUGCUACAGCACUGGGUAUGGAGCAGGGUCGGGCAAUCCUCCCACAACAUCUCUAUGUGGAGGUGUCUGACUCCAUUAAAGUGAGAAAAUAAAGCUGCCUUCUCACGACACUCACUACAUGGACUUUCAGGCAGACUUAAAGCAGCAGUGUCCACAAGAGAACGUGGAUUUGGAUUAGUUUAAUCAUAUGGUGUGUUCCUGGGCUUUUUAAAUGAAGAGGCCAGUCCUCAACUGUUAGCCAGUGUGCUUUUGAUAGGACUGUUUAUUGAGAGAGAAAAAUGUUAUUCAAAUGAAACUAAAUACUAGAUUUUAUAACUUCUUGUUCAUUUUUUUCAUUUGUAGCAAGUUAAAUAAUGUGUAACUUAAAGUUGAAAUUUGAUGUAAAAAAGUUGAACAAAUUUGUACAAAUAUUAAAGUACUAUUCAUUUGUUUAAUCAAAUGUAAUUAGCAGCCAGUGCAUCAGGAAAACAUGUAUUUGCUCAUCAAUAAACAAACUGGAUUCAAGGA
Ctenopharyngodon idella (grass carp) is the source of this 10260-nucleotide long non-coding RNA. RefSeq lists it as uncharacterized. The transcript has 6 exons. Lineage: Eukaryota; Metazoa; Chordata; Actinopteri; Cypriniformes; Xenocyprididae. The record is from RefSeq and is a predicted model, not a curated record.